Molecule: unclassified non-coding RNA, 192 nt
Filed under: uncultured fungus
Lineage: Eukaryota; Fungi
Description: sequence contains ITS1
Source: RNAcentral
UUAACGUAUUGUAUGGUACUCAGACGACACUGAACGCAGAGGUUGGGUCCUCUGGCAGGCGCUCCCCAGCACAGGGUGCCGGGGGCCCGGGGGCGGCCUGCCAAAGCAACAAGGGUAGGGUACACAGGGUGGGAGGUCUGCCCCGGGGGGCAUGUCUCUGUAAUGAUCCUUCCGCUGGUUCACCAACGGAAA